UCGGGGUACUCGAGUGGCGAACGGGUGAGUAACACGUGGGUGAUCUGCCCUGCACUUUGGGAUAAGCCUGGGAAACUGGGUCUAAUACCGGAUAGGACCACACACUUCAUGUNNNGUGAGUGGUGCAAAGCUUUUGCGGUGUGGGAUGAGCCCGCGGCCUAUCAGCUUGUUGGUGGGGUAAUGGCCCACCAAGGCGACGACGGGUAGCCGGCCUGAGAGGGUGACCGGCCACACUGGGACUUGAGAUACGGCCCAGACUCCUACGGGAGGCAGCAGUGGGGAAUAUUGCACAAUGGGCGCAAGCCUGAUGCAGCGACGCCGCGUGAGGGAUGACGGCCUUUCGGGUUGUAAACCUCUUUCAGUAGGGACGAAGCGAAAGUGACGGUACCUACAGAAGAAGGACCGGCCAACUACGUGCCAGCAGCCGCGGUAAUACGUAGGGUCCGAGCGUUGUCCGGAAUUACUGGGCGUAAAGAGCUCGUAGGUGGUUUGUCGCGUUGUUCGUGAAAACUCACAGCUUAACUGUGGGCGUGCGGGCGAUACGGGCAGACUAGAGUACUGCAGGGGAGACUGGAAUUCCUGGUGUAGCGGUGGAAUGCGCAGAUAUCAGGAGGAACACCGGUGGCGAAGGCGGGUCUCUGGGCAGUAACUGACGCUGAGGAGCGAAAGCGUGGGUAGCGAACAGGAUUAGAUACCCUGGUAGUCCACGCCGUAAACGGUGGGUACUAGGUGUGGGUUUCCUUCCUUGGGAUCCGUGCCGUAGCUAACGCAUUAAGUACCCCGCCUGGGGAGUACGGUCGCAAGACUAAAACUCAAAGGAAUUGACGGGGGCCCGCACAAGCGGCGGAGCAUGUGGAUUAAUUCGAUGCAACGCGAAGAACCUUACCUGGGUUUGACAUGCACAGGACGUACCUAGAGAUAGGUAUUCCCUUGUGGCCUGUGUGCAGGUGGUGCAUGGCUGUCGUCAGCUCGUGUCGUGAGAUGUUGGGUUAAGUCCCGCAACGAGCGCAACCCUUGUCCUAUGUUGCCAGCGGGUAAUGCCGGGGACUCGUAGGAGACUGCCGGGGUCAACUCGGAGGAAGGUGGGGAUGACGUCAAGUCAUCAUGCCCCUUAUGUCCAGGGCUUCACACAUGCUACAAUGGCCAGUACAGAGGGCUGCGAAGCCGUAAGGUGGAGCGAAUCCUUUAAAGCUGGUCUCAGUUCGGAUUGGGGUCUGCAACUUGACCCCAUGAAGUCGGAGUCGCUAGUAAUCGCAGAUCAGCAACGCUGCGGUGAAUACGUUCCCGGGCCUUGUACACACCGCCUNNCANGUCAUGAAAGUCGGUAACACCCGAAGC
RNAcentral lists this ribosomal RNA (1338 nucleotides) under Mycobacterium sp. DWMJ-1509A2. Its description in RNAcentral is "bacterial SSU rRNA". It matches the Rfam family "Bacterial small subunit ribosomal RNA", at positions 82 to 1427 of the family's 1533-position model. Lineage: Bacteria; Bacillati; Actinomycetota; Actinomycetes; Mycobacteriales; Mycobacteriaceae. The record is from RNAcentral.